AACCACCUGCUCUUCUCCUGUGGGGGGGUGUGAGACAGCAAGGGUGAGCUCACACAUGAUCAUAGCUCAACAAGUUGUGGGGAUCCAGUGGACAUAAACUCAGAAAGGUGUGAGUUCAUGUGAUGUGUAAGGCUAAUCAAUGAUAUGGGUUAAAGCUGAGCAUUGCUUUUAAGUAGUUGGUCAUAAUUUUAUUAGCAAUUACUAAGUGUAAGUAAAUACCAAACCUUAAUAAAUAAUAGAACAAAAUUAAUAACAGACCCAUGCAAUGCAAAUGACAAAAUUGAAUUUAAGUUCCAUAAUUUAAACAUCAGAGAGUCCUGAGCUGCUCAUGACCGCGAGCUCGGCUAGUAUACCAGUUUUACACUCUGUAGAGGUUGUACCCUUUACCCACAAGUCAUGUUACCCAUCUGCCAAGGGGUCGCGAAUCCCAUACACCUCUACCUAGGAAGCGCGGCAGGGCAACACUACGAGGCCUUUACAAAGUUCCACUAGCUUCCGAAAACCCGCUACAGUUUAUAGGAAGUUCCAAUGCAGGGUUCUCGGCUGACUGCCAUCGCAGCAAAAUCAACCAAGGACCUCCCUACACUGACCACUCCCCUACUGCCCUUGCCCCUUUCGGGUAAGGUAGUCUUCCACUAGCUUUCCUAAUUAGUCAGCCAAGGGCGUCCCAUUAAACCCUUGUGGUGGCACGUGGUUCUCAAGUUAAGCUCUAUGUUCCAAUUAACAUUAAUGAUCUCAACAUGAACAUAAAUAGAAUAACAAAAAGAAUUGGAACAUAGAGGUAAUAAAUGAUUAUCCCAAAACCAUAUAAAGCAAUAGCAAACUACCCAAGUGAUUCAGGGGUAAACAAGGUAAUGAGAUAAACAAUCUAGGGUGACCUAUUGGGUCCCAUCAAAAUUAACCUAUGCAUGGAUAAAUGAUAUUAAAGAACAUUAUUGGGUAAAAAGUGGUCAAGGGCACAACUUGCCUUCAAUGAGCUCCUGCUCAGCUACUUCAACCUGCUGCUCACCAGGAUCCUCAGCAACGGGCUCUUCUACUCGCCACAAUACAAACAAGCACAGUGUAUAUAGAGAAAUUAACAUUACACCAAACAUAUAAAUAAAAUACACAGAAAUAUUCUACAUAUUAAAAUAAAAUUCUAGGAACAGGAAUCAUAAUUUUUGGAGUUAUAGAAUUUAAGUUAUGGAUUUUCAAAGGUUUUAUGUGUUUAAAAUAGGAUUAAGUGUGGGAUUAAUUUUCUUACUGUUGUCAUGAUAAAACAGAGACACUAAGUGUUAGAGAAUAAAAUUACUAAAUUUUAGGAACUGGAAUGGAUUGAUUUGGAGUUAGUAUGAAUUUUCUAUGAAUUUAUUAAGUUCUAGUAGUUAUUUUCAUAAUAAAAAUCCAUUUUCUAUUUCAUUUAUUGCAUUUAAAUAGUCCCUGGACUGGGCCUCAAUUCUCAGAAAGCUCAAGGGUCUCUGCGCGAAUAAACCUAAGACUUAGAGCACAGUAGAGAGGGACGGCGGGUUAAUUUGACUCUCUUCGAGGGUCUCUUUAGCAAAGUCUAUCGACGAAGGGGUAUCGGACGGGCUGAGCCGUCCGAUCGGAUAUCAAGAGUCCAGAUUAGAUCGAAGGGGGGUACGGGACAGUGACCGUGAGAUCACAGAUCGACGGAAGAGGUUUUAAAGAGGUAAGGAGGGUUCUGGACCGCCCGAUUAGAGAUUCACGGCCCAGAUCGGCCCCGGCCGAAGGGGUAUCCUAUUUCUAAUCGUAGCCGUCCAUGCGAUGAUCAACGGUCGCGGAAGCAUCGUCUCCUACCCAGCCCGAGCCACCCAACUGGCCUCAGCGCACGGCGGCGGAGUCACCGGAGUCCAUGAAUCCGACCAACCCGAGCGCCAGACUCAAAUUCGUUCGGCCCUCGCGAAAUUGACGACGCCCAGAGCCUGAUUCACCCAUCAAUUGCUACUGCCAUCCAUCGUAGGACCUGGCCCACAGUGCACCGCGCCAGCAUCACCCGCUACCCCGAAUUGACACACGAGCCAUGGCUAAUUGAGUGCAAUACGACUGACAAACCAAGGAAUUAACGGUGUUUCUCAUACCUAAUUGCGCAGCAGAGGUUCUCCGGCCCCGGUGGAUAGUUGGAGGUCGAGAUUCCGCGACAACGACGAGGAACUUCAGAGAGCCGCAACCCAAUUUGUGUGUGCAGGGGUCUUGGUUUGCUUCCUGUCGUACCGAAGACUCCAAUCCGCGACAAACCGAACCCACACGAUGUGAGUGCGGUGACGGUGCCGCUCGCAAGCUCUCAAUCUCUCUC
Molecule: long non-coding RNA, 2293 nt
Filed under: Zea mays
Lineage: Eukaryota; Viridiplantae; Streptophyta; Magnoliopsida; Poales; Poaceae
Description: long non-coding RNA (ZMAY_LNC003214)
Source: RNAcentral